UGCACUUUCGAUGAAAUCUUCAUCAGCGCUUAAUGAUGAUGAUGCAUUGAGUAGAAUGCUCAGUCGGGCAUCAGUCCAAACGAACGUUAAAAACAAUAUUGUGACGAAACAUGCAACCAAUGCAUUCAGCUUAUCCAAACACUUUCAGAUCAGCAGUCACUAUGGGAAGAUUUAUAGCAUGGUAGCCAGGUCGGUUUCUGCUCGAGACCCAGACCUUGCCGCCAGGCUAACCGGUGAAGGGAGCCAUGGUAGAGUAUUGGAGCGUAGCCCCUGUUACGUAACGUAGUACCAUAGUGAAAUGUAGCUGUUUUCUGUGUUCUAUUUGACCUUUCACCCCUAUUGAUCUCUCACCUCUUUCGCUUGGUCUCUGUGUGUUUGACAUGUUCCCACUACAAUUAAUAGUCAGUUUAAAAAGGAUAACUAUUUGACUGUAUAAAUAUACAUACAUAAUAUAUAGGUAUAUGAAUAUAGAUUAAUUUAACCGAUAGAUAGAUAACCAAGAGAAAACAGAUAGUCAAACGUUACUAUAGAUAAGGUUGAUCAUGAAUCAAAUUGAUAAGUGAUCUGGCCUUUUAUCCCCAACUCACCAGUCACUCCUCUAUAGUCAUUAUACACACGGACAGCUCCAGUGUUUUUGUCAAUUAUUGGAAUCCAGUGGCUUCAUCUUAGUGUGUGUUGUAUGCAUUGUCUUGACAUCAUAUCCUUCAUAUCUUCAUCAUAACCUGAUAGAUUUAGUCUCAUACCUUUAGACUGCAUUUAUUGUAUAAUGAAUGCUUUGAGUGAAUGCAGUGGGGUUGGGCUCAAUAUGGCAGUCAAUUCAGGAAGUAAACUGAAAUUCCAAUUCGAUGAUUGAAAUAGGGGCCUGUAUUUUUAAUGACUUCUUAAUGAAUUGAAAAGGAGAAGCUAUUUAUGUUUUUUAAGUAGCUGAUUUUAAAUUCAAAUCUCUUCCUGAAUUGGCAAUUCGAAUUGAGCCCAACCCUUGAAUGCAGAAGAGUAUCUAUAUGACACAUAUCUAUCUAAAGGACAUUCUAGUAUCCAACAGUAUAUAAGUAUAACUGGCAUAGCAAUGCUGUAACUUCAAUCAGUCCACACCUCUUAAACCUCACUAACACAUACUACUCAGUGCUUAUGGAAAUAUCAAUGCUUUGAGACGGACAGAUAAACAGACAGAUAAACAGACAGGUAGACAGACAGAUAGACAGACAGAUAAACAGACAUAUAGACAGAUAAACAGACAGAUAAACAGACAGAUAAACAGAUAGAUAAACAGACAGACAGAUAGACAGACAGAUAAACAGACAGACAGAUAGAUAAACAGACAGAUAGACAGACAGAUAAACAGAUAGAUAAACAGACAGACAGAUAGACAGACAGAUAAACAGACAGAUAGACAGACAGAUAAACAGAUAAAAACAGACAGACAGAUAGACAGACAGAUAAACAGACAGAUAAACAGACAGACAGAUAGACAGACAGAUAAAGACAGAUAAACAGACAGACAGACAGACAGAUAAACAGACAGACAGAUAGACAAACAGAUAGAUAAACAGACAGACAGAUAGACAGACAGAUAAACAGACAGACAGACAGACAGAUAAACAGACAGAUAGACAGACAGAUAAACAGACAGAUAAACAGAUAGAUAAACAGACAGACAGAUAGACAGACAGAUAAACAGACAGACAGUCUGAGGAACUUGAGACCUGUCUCUUUCUACUCAGCCCAAGGAUGAUCAACUCUAGUCUGGUUACUUUUCCUUUACCUCAUAGAUCAAUUGGUAUCUUUGAUUCCCCAGAUAUUUAACUUGACUGGUUACCUGGGCGUUACUAAGUCUGACUACAAGACAAUACAAAAGGCUACUGAGACCAGUAGACAAUGUGGGUUUCCAGGGCCAUAGUUGUAUGUUCCUGACUGAGACUAUCCAAGCUUUCAGAUGAAGCAGUAAGCUACUCCCUGAUGUACUGUAUGUGUAUGAAGACACCACAACUGUCAAGCCUAUGUGUUUGAGGGAGAGGCUGCCCUUCCCCCAACCAUACCUCAGCUCUCAUAUGUACCUUCCUUCUUUCCCUACCUGUCAUGCUAACCCGUGUAAGGUCAUCAUUUUUAAUACCGUAGUAACGAUAGUGGUGGUAGAAUAACGUUAAAGUAAUAAUGUUUAUUACUAUGUUUAUCUUCUGAUUUGGUUGGUAGUUAUUCUGUAGGCUUGGUAAUGAUGAUGCAUAUGAUGUACUUCUCAAAGGCUUCUGGUUUAAAGGAACUGUUUGUUUGCUGUUUUUUUUGUUGUUUUGUCACUUGCGGGUGACAUGGCACUUCUUGAAGAGUUCAGGUUACUUGAGGAAUGAAGAAUAAAACAUAUUACCCAUAAAUUCAAAUUCAUUGGGAAUAUCGCUCUUUUGAUUGGUCAGAAAAAAUAUAAAAGGUUACCAUGCCAACAAGCCUCUGUGGUGUAGCACAGGGUUAGUGUCCCUAUGACAACAAUAGAUUGGAAACAUUGUAACUUUGCACUUGCAAUAUACAGGCUACUUUACCAAAUCUUCCACCAAAUGCAAUGGUAUGGCACCUGCUAGUAUGUCAACAACCUAACUAGCUAAUCCAAAUCGCUGCGUGUCUCAAGACAAUGUGUAGCUCCAAUAGAUAGCUGUUUACCAAACAGUGGAGCCACUGUGUGUCAUGGCCAGUCACACUACACCCCUGGUCUUCUAAAGGCUUUAGCUGGGUCACGGCAGCAAAACAAGCUAGACAACUACUUUCUUCGGCCAGUAAAUUGACAUGAGUCGUUUUAGAGCUAUCUAUAAUGUAUUUUAAUUGCAGCUUGUAGUAAAUUAGGCUGUAUGAGGGAGGAGCUAGUUAGUGUCAGCAAGGCCCACCUUUCAAUGUGCCAUGCCUAGAUGCAGGUGAAGGGUAAACCUAACUUCAGGAAACACACAUGGUCUGUGACGGUAACAAUCUCAGUAUGUUGACAAGGAUUUUCUAAUUAUUUUUUGUUGUUGAUUCGGGUAUAUUUUCCAUUGUGUGAGAUGAUCCAUGAUAAAUGCAUUGAUUUGUAUGAAAAGCUGUACAUUUAUUGGAUGUGGUAUUUAUUGACCCUGGAGUCCCUGAAAGGUGUAUAUAUAUAUAUACACCUCUGUUGUAUUUGUCCCCUCACGUCUAUAUCUCUCUAUCUAUCUAUCUGGGGUUUUGUUGGUGGCACCUUAACUGGGGAGGACAGGCUUGUGGUAAUGGCUGGAGCGGAAUAAGUAGAAUGGUAUCAGAUACAUUAAACACCUGGUUGCCAUGUGUUUGAUGCCAUUCAUUUGCCAUUAUUAAGAGCCAUCCUCCCCUCAGCAGCCUCCACUGGUGUGUGUGUGUGUUCGUGCUUGCGUGCGAACGAACAAGCAUGUGUGUGUAGCAGUGGGUUCUGUAUCUCUCUGGUGUGAUGUAGCCUGCCCCGUACCUCACUGUUCCAUAGUGUACUGUGUCCCUGUAGCGUCAGUCAGUGUCUGACUCCCGCAUGUGCUUGUUUGUAAAUACCCAAUAAAUAAUCAACGUAAACCAAAC
Long non-coding RNA from Oncorhynchus tshawytscha (Chinook salmon), 3537 nucleotides. Lineage: Eukaryota; Metazoa; Chordata; Actinopteri; Salmoniformes; Salmonidae. The record is from Ensembl.